UACCUUGUUACGACUUCACCCCAGUCAUGAACCAUACCGUGGGGGCCGCCCUCCCUCGCGGGUUAGGCCAGCCACUUCUGGUACAGUCCACUCCCAUGGUGUGACGGGCGGUGUGUACAAGACCCGGGAACGUAUUCACCGCGACAUGCUGAUCCGCGAUUACUAGCGAUUCCGACUUCAUGCAGUCGAGUUGCAGACUGCAAUCCGGACUACGACGCGCUUUCUGGGAUUGGCUCCAGGUCACCCCUUCGCAACCCUCUGUACGCGCCAUUGUAUGACGUGUGUAGCCCUACCCAUAAGGGCCAUUGAGGACUUGACGUCAUCCCCACCUUCCUCCGGUUUGUCACCGGCAGUCCCAUUAGAGUGCCCACCUCUCGCGUGGCAACUAAUGGCAAGGGUUGCGCUCGUUGCGGGACUUAACCCAACAUCUCACGACACGAGCUGACGACAGCCAUGCAGCACCUGUGUUGCCGCUCCCUUGCGGGCACUCCCCCGUCUCCGGGGGAUUCGGCACAUGUCAAGGGUAGGUAAGGUUCUUCGCGUUGCAUCGAAUUAAACCACAUCAUCCACCGUUUGUGCGGGUCCCCGUCAAUUCCUCUGAGUUUUAACCUUGCGGGCGUACUCCCCAGGGGGUCGACUUGACGGGUUAGUGGCGUUACCGAGGAUCUAACUCCGCCAACAAUUG
RNAcentral lists this ribosomal RNA (685 nucleotides) under uncultured bacterium. RNAcentral describes it as "partial 16S ribosomal RNA". The record is from RNAcentral.